CCUACGGGCGGCUGCAGUGAGGAAUAUUGGUCAAUGGACGAGAGUCUGAACCAGCCAAGUAGCGUGAAGGAUGACUGCCCUAUGGGUUGUAAACUUCUUUUAUAUGGGAAUAAAAUGUUCCACGUGUGGGAUUUUGUAUGUACCAUAUGAAUAAGGAUCGGCUAACUCCGUGCCAGCAGCCGCGGUAAUACGGAGGAUCCGAGCGUUAUCCGGAUUUAUUGGGUUUAAAGGGUGCGUAGGUGGAUUGUUAAGUCAGUUGUGAAAGUUUGCGGCUCAACCGCGAAAUUGCAGUUGAUACUGUCCGUCUUGAGUACAGUAGAGGUGGGCGGAAUUCAUGGUGUAGCGGUGAAAUGCUUAGAUAUCACGCAGAACACCGAUUGCGAAGGCAGCUCACUAAACUACAACUGACACUGAGGCUCGAAAGUGUGGGUAUCAAACAGGAUUAGAUACCCCAGUAGUC
RNAcentral lists this ribosomal RNA (460 nucleotides) under uncultured bacterium. Its description in RNAcentral is "partial 16S ribosomal RNA". It matches the Rfam family "Bacterial small subunit ribosomal RNA", at positions 338 to 795 of the family's 1533-position model. The record is from RNAcentral.